This 229-nucleotide long non-coding RNA is filed under the name Gallus gallus (chicken). The record is from RNAcentral. Lineage: Eukaryota; Metazoa; Chordata; Aves; Galliformes; Phasianidae.
GCUGCCCCCAUUAACUAAUUAGCGGCUCGUUAAUGACAGGGGACUACGAGGUGGCGGUGAAGUUCAACGAGGAGCACAUCCCGGACAGCCCCAUUGAUCCCAUCCCCCAUUCAUUGAUCCCAUUGAUCCCAUCCCCCAUUCAUUGAUCCCAUCCCCACUGACUGAUCCCAUCCCUCACUGGGGACCCAAUUAACUAAUUAGCGGCUCGUUAAUGACAGGGGACUACGAG